RNAcentral lists this ribosomal RNA (253 nucleotides) under uncultured bacterium. RNAcentral's name for it is "partial 16S ribosomal RNA". It matches the Rfam family "Bacterial small subunit ribosomal RNA", at positions 524 to 776 of the family's 1533-position model. The record is from RNAcentral.
UACGGAGGGGGCUAGCGUUGUUCGGAAUUACUGGGCGUAAAGCGCACGUAGGCGGCUUUGUAAUUUAGAGGUGAAAGCCCGGGGCUCAACUCCGGAAUUGCCUUUAAGACUGCAUCGCUUGAACAUCGGAGAGGUAAUUGGAAUUCCGAGUGUAGAGGUGACAUUCGUAGAUAUUCGGAAGAACACCAGUGGCGAAGGCGACUUACUGGACACAUAUUGACGCUGAGGUGCGAAAGCGUGGGGAGCAAGCAGG